Molecule: ribosomal RNA, 401 nt
Filed under: uncultured bacterium
Lineage: Bacteria
Description: bacterial SSU rRNA
Rfam family: Bacterial small subunit ribosomal RNA
Source: RNAcentral
UGGGGAAUAUUGGACAAUGGGCGAAAGCCUGAUCCAGCAAUGCCGCGUGAGUGAUGAAGGCCUUAGGGUUGUAAAGCUCUUUUACCCGGGAUGAUAAUGACAGUACCGGGAGAAUAAGCUCCGGCUAACUCCGUGCCAGCAGCCGCGGUAAUACGGAGGGAGCUAGCGUUGUUCGGAAUUACUGGGCGUAAAGCGCACGUAGGCGGUUACUUAAGUCAGGGGUGAAAUCCCGGGGCUCAACCCCGGAACUGCCCUUGAAACUGGGCAACUAGAAUCUUGGAGAGGUCAGUGGAAUUCCGAGUGUAGAGGUGAAAUUCGUAGAUAUUCGGAAGAACACCAGUGGCGAAGACGACUGACUGGACAAGUAUUGACGCUGAGGUGCGAAAGCGUGGGGAGCAAAC